ACGAACGCUGGCGGCGUGCCUAAUACAUGCAAGUCGAACGGUCUUUUCUAUGGAAGCUUGCUUCCACUGAGAAGAUAGUGGCGAACGGGUGAGUAACACGUGGGUAACCUGCCCAUAAGAGGGGGGAUAACAUCCGGAAACGGGUGCGUAAUACCGCAUAGUUUUUCUUGAUCGCAUGAUUGAGAAAGGAAAGACGGCCUUUGUGCUGUCGCUUAUGGAUGGACCCGCGGCGUAUUAGUUAGUUGGUGAGGUAACGGCUCACCAAGACGAUGAUACGUAGCCGACCUGAGAGGGUGAUCGGCCACAUUGGGACUGAGACACGGCCCAAACUCCUACGGGAGGCAGCAGUAGGGAAUCUUCCGCAAUGGACGAAAGUCUGACGGAGGCAACGCCGCGUGAGUAGAAGAAGGUUUUCGGAUCGUAAAACUCUGUUGUCGGAGAAGAACAAGUUGGAGAGUAACUGCUCCAGCCUUGACGGUAUCUGACCAGAAAGCCACGGCUAACUACGUGCCAGCCGCCGC
This 521-nucleotide ribosomal RNA is filed under the name uncultured bacterium. RNAcentral describes it as "bacterial SSU rRNA". It matches the Rfam family "Bacterial small subunit ribosomal RNA", at positions 29 to 518 of the family's 1533-position model. The record is from RNAcentral.